This 416-nucleotide ribosomal RNA is filed under the name uncultured bacterium. RNAcentral's name for it is "bacterial SSU rRNA". It matches the Rfam family "Bacterial small subunit ribosomal RNA", at positions 30 to 406 of the family's 1533-position model. The record is from RNAcentral.
AUUGAACGCUGGCGGCAUGCUUUACACAUGCAAGUCGAACGGCAGCACAGCAGAGGUAACUCUGUGGGUGGCGAGUGGCGAACGGGUGAGUAAUACAUCGGAACGUACCCUGUUGUGGGGGAUAACUACGCGAAAGCGUAGCUAAAUACCGCAUACGCCCUGAGGGGGAAAGCGGGGGACCCUAAAUAGAGCGCACUGGGGAGUGCGUUGUAUUUAGGGCCUCGCGCAAUAGGAGCGGCCGAUGUCGGAUUAGCUAGUUGGUGAGGUAAAGGCUUACCAAGGCGACGAUCCGUAGCUGGGUCUGAGAGGAUGAUCAGCCACACUGGGACUGAGACACGGCCCAGACUCCUACGGGAGGCAGCAGUGGGGAAUUUUGGACAAUGGGGGCAACCCUGAUCCAGCCAUGCCGCGUGAGU